RNAcentral lists this ribosomal RNA (1402 nucleotides) under uncultured bacterium. RNAcentral's name for it is "bacterial SSU rRNA". It matches the Rfam family "Bacterial small subunit ribosomal RNA". The record is from RNAcentral.
AGAGUUUGAUCCUGGCUCAGGAUGAACGCUAGCGGCAGGCUUAACACAUGCAAGUCGAGGGGCAGCGGGGAGGAAGCUUGCUUUCUCCGCCGGCGACCGGCGCACGGGUGAGUAACACGUAUGCAACCUGCCCCUGUCAGGGGGACAACCCGCCGAAAGGCGGGCUAAACCCGCGUACAUGCCACCGGGGCAUCCCGGAGGCAGGAAAAGCUUCGGCCGGACAGGGAUGGGCAUGCGGCGCAUUAGGCAGUAGGCGGGGUAACGGCCCACCUAACCGACGAUGCGUAGGGAUUCUGAGAGGAAGGUCCCCCACACUGGUACUGAGACACGGACCAGACUCCUACGGGAGGCAGCAGUGAGGAAUAUUGGUCAAUGGUCGGGAGACUGAACCAGCCAAGCCGCGUGAGGGAGGAAGGUACAGAGUAUCGUAAACCUCUUUUGUCAGGGAACAAAGGCGGGGACGUGUCCCCGGAUGAGUGUACCUGAAGAAAAAGCAUCGGCUAACUCCGUGCCAGCAGCCGCGGUAAUACGGAGGAUGCGAGCGUUAUCCGGAUUUAUUGGGUUUAAAGGGUGCGCAGGCGGUCUGUUAAGUCAGCGGUCAAAGCCCGGGGCUCAACCCCGGCCCGCCGUUGAAACUGGCAGUCUCGAGUUGGAGAGAAGUAUGCGGAAUGCGCGGUGUAGCGGUGAAAUGCAUAGAUAUCGCGCAGAACUCCGAUUGCGAAGGCAGCAUGCCGGCUCCACACUGACGCUGAGGCACGAAAGCGUGGGUAUCGAACAGGAUUAGAUACCCUGGUAGUCCACGCAGUAAACGAUGAAUGCUGGCUGUCCGGGGGGAUUGACCCCUGGGCGGCGAAGCGAAAGCGAUAAGCAUUCCACCUGGGGAGUACGCCGGCAACGGUGAAACUCAAAGGAAUUGACGGGGGCCCGCACAAGCGGAGGAACAUGUGGUUUAAUUCGAUGAUACGCGAGGAACCUUACCCGGGCUUGAAAUGUGCAGGACUCAGGCAGAGACGCCUGUUUCUUCGGACCUGCAUGUAGGUGCUGCAUGGUUGUCGUCAGCUCGUGCCGUGAGGUGUCGGCUUAAGUGCCAUAACGAGCGCAACCCUUCUCCCCGUUUGCCAUCAGUUAAUGCUGGGCACUCCGGGGACACUGCCAUCGUAAGAUGUGAGGAAGGUGGGGAUGACGUCAAAUCGGCACGGCCCUUACGUCCGGGGCUACACACGUGUUACAAUGGGGGGUACAGAGGGCCGCUAUCCCGCGAGGGUGCGCCAAUCCUCAAAACCUCUCUCAGUUCGGACUGGAGUCUGCAACCCGACUCCACGAAGCUGGAUUCGCUAGUAAUCGCGCAUCAGCCAUGGCGCGGUGAAUACGUUCCCGGGCCUUGUACUCACCGCCCGUCAAG